This 952-nucleotide small RNA is filed under the name Pan troglodytes (chimpanzee). Its description in RNAcentral is "retained intron". Lineage: Eukaryota; Metazoa; Chordata; Mammalia; Primates; Hominidae. The record is from RNAcentral.
UCCUCCGGAGAUUCAGAGAAUCUCUGAAGCUUAAUGGUUUGAGGUAAUUAAUACAUCUGAUAUGAUCAGGUGAUCAGCCUGUAACAGUAGUGUGUAGUCACUGCACACACUGCAAUUAUAGAAAAAACAUGUUCUGUUUAAUCCACCUGUCAAGAUGAAUAGCACAAAUCAAGGAAGUAAUGUGGAAUAUAGUUUUAUAGUGUUUUCUUGUUGUUGUGUUGGAGAUCCAACUUAGUGGGAGAAUGGUGGAAGAAUAAGAAUCGGUCAACAGUUUCUUCAAGUUCACUCUGGUGUACUUGAAAGCAGUGAAAUCUGUGGCCAAUAUUGAAAUAUACAUCGAAUAAAAUUUUCUGUUCUCUUUCCAGACUGCCAUCAAGAAGAAUAACCCACGGAAAUAUCUGCGCAGUGUAGGAGAUGGAGAAACUGUAGAGUUUGAUGUGGUUGAAGGAGAGAAGGGUGCAGAAGCUGCCAAUGUGACUGGCCCGGAUGGAGUUCCUGUGGAAGGGAGUCGUUACGCUGCAGAUCGGCGCCGUUACAGACGUGGCUACUAUGGAAGGCGCCGUGGCCCUCCCCGGAAUGCUGGUGAGAUUGGAGAGAUGAAGGAUGGAGUCCCAGAGGGAGCACAACUUCAGGGACCGGUUCAUCGAAAUCCAACUUACCGCCCAAGGUACCGUAGCAGGGGACCUCCUCGCCCACGACCUGCCCCAGCAGUUGGAGAGGCUGAAGAUAAAGAAAAUCAGCAAGCCACCAGUGGUCCAAACCAGCCGUCUGUUCGCCGUGGAUACCGGCGUCCCUACAAUUACCGGCGUCGCCCGCGUCCUCCUAACGCUCCUUCACAAGAUGGCAAAGAGGCCAAGGCAGGUGAAGCACCAACUGAGAACCCUGCUCCACCCACCCAGCAGAGCAGUGCUGAGUAACACCAGGCUCCCCAGGCACCUUCACCAUCGGCAGG